GUCGUAACAAGGUUUCCGUAGGUGAACCUGCGGAANGAUCAUUACCUAGAGUUUGUAGACUUCGGUCUGCUACCUCUUACCCAUGUCUUUUGAGUACCUUCGUUUCCUCGGCGGGUCCGCCCGCCGAUUGGACAACAUUCAAACCCUUUGCAGUUGCAAUCAGCGUCUGAAAAAACAUAAUAGUUACAACUUUCAACAACGGAUCUCUUGGUUCUGGCAUCGAUGAAGAACGCAGCGAAAUGCGAUGAGUAGUGUGAAUUGCAGAAUUCAGUGAAUCAUCGAAUCUUUGAACGCACAUUGCGCCCCUUGGUAUUCCAUGGGGCAUGCCUGUUCGAGCGUCAUUUGUACCUUCAAGCUCUGCUUGGUGUUGGGUGUUUGUCUCGCCUCUGCGUGUAGACUCGCCUUAAAACAAUUGGCAGCCGGCGUAUUGAUUUCGGAGCGCAGUACAUCUCGCGCUUUGCACUCAUAACGACGACGUCCAAAAGUACAUUUUUACACUCUUGACCUCGGAUCAGGUAGGGAUACCCGCUGAACUUAAGCAUAUC
Molecule: ribosomal RNA, 545 nt
Filed under: uncultured fungus
Lineage: Eukaryota; Fungi
Description: eukaryotic LSU rRNA
Rfam family: 5.8S ribosomal RNA (bases 188-341)
Source: RNAcentral